UGGCGGACGGGUGAGUAACGCGUGGAAAACCUGCCGUAUACUGGGGGAUAACACUUAGAAAUAGGUGCUAAUACCGCAUAAGCGCACAGCUUCGCAUGAAGCGGUGUGAAAAACUCUGGUGGUAUACGAUGGUUCCGCGUCUGAUUAGCUAGUUGGUGGGGUAAUGGCCUACCAAGGCAACGAUCAGUAGCCGGCCUGAGAGGGNGAACGGCCACAUUGGGACUGAGACACGGCCCAAACUCCUACGGAAGGCAGCAG
This 258-nucleotide ribosomal RNA is filed under the name uncultured bacterium. RNAcentral describes it as "partial 16S ribosomal RNA". It matches the Rfam family "Bacterial small subunit ribosomal RNA", at positions 96 to 354 of the family's 1533-position model. The record is from RNAcentral.